UACGGAGGGUGCAAGCGUUAUCCGGAUUCACUGGGUUUAAAGGGUGCGUAGGUGGGCAAGUAAGUCAGUGGUGAAAUCUCCGGGCUUAACCCGGAAACUGCCAUUGAUACUAUUUGUCUUGAAUACUGUGGAGGUCAGCGGAAUAUGCCAUGUAGCGGUGAAAUGCUUAGAUAUGACAUAGAACACCAAUUGCGAAGGCAGCUGGCUACACAAAUAUUGACACUGAGGCACGAAAGCGUGGGGAUCAAACAGG
Molecule: ribosomal RNA, 253 nt
Filed under: uncultured bacterium
Lineage: Bacteria
Description: partial 16S ribosomal RNA
Rfam family: Bacterial small subunit ribosomal RNA
Source: RNAcentral